Molecule: non-coding RNA, 29 nt
Filed under: Cricetulus griseus (Chinese hamster)
Lineage: Eukaryota; Metazoa; Chordata; Mammalia; Rodentia; Cricetidae
Source: RNAcentral
AUGGAAAAACUGGAAAUCUUGGAAAUGUU